This 253-nucleotide ribosomal RNA is filed under the name uncultured bacterium. Its description in RNAcentral is "partial 16S ribosomal RNA". It matches the Rfam family "Bacterial small subunit ribosomal RNA", at positions 524 to 776 of the family's 1533-position model. The record is from RNAcentral.
UACAGGGGGUGCAAACGUUGCUCGGAAUCAUUGGGCGUAAAGCGCACGUAGGCGGUCUGUUAUGUCGGAUGUGAAAGCCCUCGGCUCAACUGAGGAAGUGCAUCCGAAACCGGCAGGCUAGAGUACUAAAGAGGGUCGCGGAAUUCCCGGUGUAGAGGUGAAAUUCGUAGAUAUCGGGAGGAACACCGGUGGCGAAGGCGGCGACCUGGGUAGAUACUGACGCUGAGGUGCGAAAGCGUGGGGAGCGAACAGG